Molecule: ribosomal RNA, 360 nt
Filed under: Triticum aestivum (bread wheat)
Lineage: Eukaryota; Viridiplantae; Streptophyta; Magnoliopsida; Poales; Poaceae
Description: partial small subunit ribosomal RNA
Source: RNAcentral
AUGUCAAGUGGUUUGCUUGCCGGUGCUCCUUGCAUUUUAGUAGGGGAUUUCAACUUGAUUGCUAGAGCCACAGACAAGAAUAACCUGAACAUCAACAGAAGGUUGUUGGCUGCUUUUAGAAAUUUUAUCAAUGAGUUGCAGCUUCGAGAUCUGUACCUACAUGGCCGGUGCUAUACUUGGAGCAACGAGCAGGCAAAUGCCACCAUGGUCAAGAUGGAUAGAGUUCUCUUUAAUGAGGAAUGGGAUGCUCUGUUUCCUAGUUGUCUGCUACAAGCACUUUCUACCGAGAUGUCCGACCACUGUCCCUUGCUCCUUUCAUGUGAUGUUGAUUUCAAGCCAUUUCGAAGAUUCAGAUUUGAG